UGACUCCACCCCUUUACUAGCGCUGAUAAGCAUCUACAGCACAACAAAGCAUGCGUCCGGUUUCUGCAACGUUGUAACUUCAUUAUUGUAAUUUYACUGGAURUACGGAAUAUUCGGUUGCGUUGGAUUUAACUAAUUAUAGUUCUUCAUUGAUGGUAUUUCUAUUUUAGUGUGUACCAUGACAACAGAGGCUAGCGCGGUGGGUGAGGCGGACACAGAGGGAAAGCCGAAGCCCAGCGUGCAGAGGCAGAGAGAAAACCGGAGAACAAGCAGAGCUCAGAGGCAGAGAUACAA
This is a non-coding RNA of Salvelinus sp. IW2-2015, 294 nucleotides long. Lineage: Eukaryota; Metazoa; Chordata; Actinopteri; Salmoniformes; Salmonidae. The record is from RefSeq and is a predicted model, not a curated record.